GUCGUGAGAUGUUGGGUUAAGUCCCGCAACGAGCGCAACCCCUGUUCUUAGUUGCCAGCGCGUAAUGGCGGGGACUCUAGGAAGACUGCCGGUGCCAAACCGGAGGAAGGUGGGGACGACGUCAAGUCAUCAUGGUCCUUACGUCUAGGGCUACACACGUGCUACAAUGGGCGGGACAGCGGGGGCCGAGGCAGCAAUGCUCAGGCAAUCCCAAAACCCGUCCUCAGUUCGGAUUGUCGUCUGCAACUCGACGGCAUGAAGCUGGAAUCGCUAGUAAUCGUGGAUCAGCAUUGCCACGGUGAAUACGUUCCCGGGCCUUGUACACACCGCCCGUCACGCCAUGGAAGUGGUGAGCGCCCGAAGUCCGUGUCGGAACCCGCAAGGGGCCAAGCGGCCGAAGGCGAGCAUCAUGACUGGGGCGAAGUCGUAACAAGGUAGCCGUAGGGGAACCUGCGGCUGGAUCACCUCCUUAACGGAGAGUGGCGAGUAGAAACCGGGCAACCGGAUUCGAAAGCUCUCAUCUAGUUAUCGCCCGUCUUUCACAUCCAGAUCUCAAUCUCGAUUUCCAUAUAUGCCGGCUCGUGACCGCUUUGCCUCGUGCACGAGCUGGCUGCAAUACCGGAGGCUCUUCGGAGCUUCCAAUAUUCAGGCGAGCGGGCGCUUACUCCCGCGCGAUGUUUGACAACGGAUGAUAGAAGUGAUCGUGGGAUUUGAAGGUGUCGGAAUCCUGAUAAGAAUUCCGAUGCCGCGAAUCAACACUAGUGAUUCAAUUUCGCGGCCCCGAAAGGGGUCGUAUUGGUCUCAGGGCGCGAGCUCUGGGAUCUGAUUGUAUCGCUCGUUAGAUCGCGCGUGUUUCUGUUUGAACAAGUUAUUUGAUCAAGCGAAAGAAAGUAUGUGGGGGAUGCCUAGGUACACAGAGGCGAUGAAGGCCGUGGUAAGCUGCGAUAAGCCAGGGGGAGCGGCACACACGCUAUGAGCCCUGGAUGG
Molecule: small RNA, 987 nt
Filed under: uncultured Gemmatimonas sp.
Lineage: Bacteria; Pseudomonadati; Gemmatimonadota; Gemmatimonadia; Gemmatimonadales; Gemmatimonadaceae
Description: bacterial SSU rRNA
Rfam family: Bacterial small subunit ribosomal RNA (bases 1-472)
Source: RNAcentral